GACUGCGUGGCGCAGUUGGUUUUGCGCGUUAUCACUGUAUUAUGUAACCUACCUGACAGGUCGCCGGUUCGAAUCCCAGCAGUUG
Molecule: non-coding RNA, 85 nt
Organism: Mycena rebaudengoi
Lineage: Eukaryota; Fungi; Basidiomycota; Agaricomycetes; Agaricales; Mycenaceae
Source: the annotation of a GenBank genome assembly